GAUCCGUCCAAUCCUUCCUUUUCUAGAGAUGGAUACCGGCAGCAAGUCGAAGAAGGGCGCCGGUGGCCGGAAGGGCGGCGGUCCGAGGAAGAAGUCGGUCUCUCGCUCAGUGAAAGCCGGCCUCCAGUUCCCCGUCGGUCGUAUCGGACGAUACCUUAAGAAAGGACGCUACGCCAAGCGCACCGGCGCCGGUGCCGCCGUCUACCUCGCCGCCGUCCUCGAGUACCUCGCCGCGGAGGUGCUGGAGCUGGCGGGCAACGCUGCGAAGGACAACAAGAAGAGCCGGAUCAUUCCUAGGCACCUGCUGCUGGCGGUGAGGAAUGAUUUGGAGCUUGGGAAGCUCCUGGCCGGCGUCACCAUCGCUCAUGGUGGCGUACUGCCGAACAUCAAUCCGGUGCUGCUGCCCAAGAAGACCGGCAGCGGCAAGGAGCCGAAAUCGCCGUCCAAGGCCACUAAGUCUCCCAAAAAGGCCUAAAUAGAUCUAGAUCUGGUGUUUGUUGUUGGAUUUGCUGUGUGCUUUCAGAUAGUUGUCUUCUAAUUUGUAUCAAUUGUAGUUUCUUGGGCUUGAUUUGGACUUUAUUUUCAACUCUCUUGUUGGAUCAG
Molecule: unclassified non-coding RNA, 603 nt
Filed under: Hevea brasiliensis (rubber tree)
Lineage: Eukaryota; Viridiplantae; Streptophyta; Magnoliopsida; Malpighiales; Euphorbiaceae
Source: RNAcentral